This is a non-coding RNA of Acanthosepion pharaonis, 111 nucleotides long. The record is from the annotation of a GenBank genome assembly. Lineage: Eukaryota; Metazoa; Mollusca; Cephalopoda; Sepiida; Sepiidae.
ACAACCAUAUUACGUUGAAACACCGGUUCUAGUACGAUCAUCGAAGUUAAGCAACGUCGACCUGGUCAGUACCUAGAUCGGUGUCGGCUUGGGAAUACCGUGUGUCGCAAG